AAGGAAACCAUGUCGGGACCUCUUUCCAUUGCAGAAUGGGCUCCUGCUGUUACGAAUUUGGGACAAGCUGAACUUCCAAAUUUGGCUACUGCUGUUACAGAUUGGGU
Molecule: long non-coding RNA, 107 nt
Organism: Gekko japonicus
Lineage: Eukaryota; Metazoa; Chordata; Lepidosauria; Squamata; Gekkonidae
Exons: 5
Source: RefSeq, a predicted model, not a curated record